CGGGCUGUAGCGCAGCUUGGUUAGCGCGCCAGACUGGGGGUCUGGAGGUCCGGGGUUCAAAUCCCCGCAGCCCGACCA
RNAcentral lists this transfer RNA (78 nucleotides) under Limnochorda pilosa. RNAcentral describes it as "tRNA-Pro". It matches the Rfam family "tRNA". From Rfam's summary of the family: Transfer RNA (tRNA) molecules are approximately 80 nucleotides in length. The record is from RNAcentral. Lineage: Bacteria; Bacillati; Bacillota; Limnochordia; Limnochordales; Limnochordaceae.